RNAcentral lists this transfer RNA (72 nucleotides) under Spirochaetales bacterium. RNAcentral describes it as "tRNA-Gln". It matches the Rfam family "tRNA". Rfam says of the family: Transfer RNA (tRNA) molecules are approximately 80 nucleotides in length. Their secondary structure includes four short double-helical elements and three loops (D, anti-codon, and T loops). Further hydrogen bonds mediate the characteristic L-shaped molecular structure. tRNAs have two regions of fundamental functional importance: the anti-codon, which is responsible for specific mRNA codon recognition, and the 3' end, to which the tRNAs corresponding amino acid is attached (by aminoacyl-tRNA synthetases). tRNAs cope with the degeneracy of the genetic code in two manners: having more than one tRNA (with a specific anti-codon) for a particular amino acid; and 'wobble' base-pairing, i.e. permitting non-standard base-pairing at the 3rd anti-codon position. The record is from RNAcentral. Lineage: Bacteria; Pseudomonadati; Spirochaetota; Spirochaetia; Spirochaetales.
UGGGAUGUAGGCAAGUGGUAAGCCAGCGGGUUUUGGGUCCGCCAUUCGUAGGUUCGAAUCCUGCCAUCCCAG